This 837-nucleotide ribosomal RNA is filed under the name uncultured organism. RNAcentral's name for it is "bacterial SSU rRNA". It matches the Rfam family "Bacterial small subunit ribosomal RNA", at positions 640 to 1473 of the family's 1533-position model. The record is from RNAcentral.
GCUAGAGUCACGGAGAGGAAAUUGGAAUUCCUGGUGUAGGAGUGANAUCUAUAGAUAUCAGGAAGAACACCUGUAGCGAAGGCUGAUUUCUGGACGUGCACUGACGCUGAGGUACGAAAGUUAGGGUAGCAAACAGGAUUAGAGACCCUGGUAGUCCUAACCGUAAACGUUGUAUACUAGGUGGUGGGAGUAUUGAUCCUUUCACUGCCGCAGCUAAUGCACUAAGUAUACCGCCUGGGGAGUAUGCCGGCAACGGUGAAACUCAAAGGAAUUGACGGGGGCCCGCACAAGCAGUGGAGCAUGUUGUUCAAUUCGAUGAUACGCGAGGAACCUUACCAGGUCUUGACAUAUACCUGACGCACAUAGAAAUAUGUGUUUCCUUCGGGACAGGUAUACAGGUGCUGCAUGGUUGUCGUCAGCUCGUGCCGUGAGGUGUUGGGUUAAGUCCCGUAACGAGCGCAACCCCUAUUCUUUGUUGCUAACAGAUUAAGCUGAGCACUCGGAGGAAACUGCCGGUGACAAACCGGAGGAAGGUGGGGAUGACGUCAAAUCAUCACGGCCCUUAUGACCUGGGCUACAAACGUGCUACAAUGGACGGUACAAAGAGUUGCGAGACCGCGAGGUGGAGCUAAUCUCAAAAAAGCGUCCUCAGUUCGGAUUGGAGUCUGAAACCCGACUCUAUGAAGCUGGAAUUGCUAGUAAUCGCACAUCAUAAUGGUGCGGUGAAUAUGUUCCCGGGCCUUGUACACACCGCCCGUCACAUCACCCGAGUUGAAUAUACCCGAAGUAUCCGAGCUAACGGCUUUUGCCGGGGCAGGUCCUAAGGUAUGUUCGGCA